AGUGAACGCUGGCGGUAGGCCUAACACAUGCAAGUCGAACGGCAGCACAGUAAGAGCUUGCUCUUACGGGUGGCGAGUGGCGGACGGGUGAGGAAUACAUCGGAAUCUACUUUUUCGUGGGGGAUAACGUAGGGAAACUUACGCUAAUACCGCAUACGACCUACGGGUGAAAGCAGGGGAUCUUCGGACCUUGCGCGAUUGAAUGAGCCGAUGUCGGAUUAGCUAGUUGGCGGGGUAAAGGCCCACCAAGGCGACGAUCCGUAGCUGGUCUGAGAGGACGAUCAGCCACACUGGAACUGAGACACGGUCCAGACUCCCACGGGAGGCAGCAGUGGGGAAUAUUGGACAAUAGGCGCAAGCCUGAUCCAGCCAUACCGCGUGGGUGAAGAAGGCCUUCGGGUUGUAAAGCCCUUUUGUUGGGAAAGAAAAGCAGCAGGUUAAUACCCCGCUGUUCUGACGGUACCCAAAGAAUAAGCACCGGCUAACUUCGUG
This 492-nucleotide ribosomal RNA is filed under the name uncultured bacterium. Its description in RNAcentral is "partial 16S ribosomal RNA". It matches the Rfam family "Bacterial small subunit ribosomal RNA", at positions 29 to 507 of the family's 1533-position model. The record is from RNAcentral.